UCUUGUGCAAUAAACGAAAGUAUGACACAGAGAGGACACAUUUAAUUGAGCCCGUCAAAUUAAGUGCCAGCCGACGCGGUUAAACUUAAGGGCUGGUCUUUAUAAGUAAAAAGGCGUAAAGGAUGUGUAGGCCAAGAAACGAUCCAAGUAGGUAAAUGGAAUUUUUCUGGAGCGGUAGAAUGUGAGGAUAGAAAAUAGAACCCCUAAGGUAAAAACUAUUUACUACAAGGUAGGCUGAAACAUGAGAGUGUGGGGAGCAAACAGGAUUAGAGACCCUGGUAGUCCACACUGUGAACUUUGAAGAUGAUGCUUAGCAGACCCGAAAGGUAAAAUCUUCCGCCUGAGUAGUACGAUCGCAAGAUUAAAAUUCAAAAACUUUGGCUGUUCACUAUUUCGAUUAGAGGAGCGUGUAGUUUAAUUCGAUGGUCCGCGUGUUACCUUACCCCAACUUGAAUCUGUGACCGGUAUUGCAUGGCCGUCGUAAGUUCGUGUAUUAAGCUAGAAGGGACCCAACCCGGGCACUUGCCCGGAGGAAGUCAGGUCUUAUGAUCCGAAUGUUGGGGGAUUUUAUGCGCUACAUUUUCUUAUAUAAUGAGAAACCUGGAAGGUGAAUCUCUAAAGUAAGAGUUCGGAAGGUCGCUGUAAGACGACUGGAAGUUGGAUUUAAUAGUAAUCGGAAAGUAGGGCGUUCCGGUGAAUUGGUACAAGUGUUAGCACAAAUUGCCCGUCACCUUUACUUAGAAGGUUAUUCG
Molecule: ribosomal RNA, 752 nt
Filed under: Gyractis sp. PL-2017
Lineage: Eukaryota; Metazoa; Cnidaria; Anthozoa; Actiniaria; Actiniidae
Description: partial 12S ribosomal RNA
Rfam family: Bacterial small subunit ribosomal RNA
Source: RNAcentral